GAUGAACGCUGGCGGCGUGCCUAAUACAUGCAAGUCGAGCGAACGGACGCGAAUCUUGCUGCUCUGAUGUUAGCGGCGCGGGUGUGUGUAACACGUGGAUAACCUACCUAUCAGACUGAUAUAUCUUCGGGAAACCGGAUCUUAUCCCGUAUAAGCUCUUGAACCACAUUGUGGAAAAGUGAAAGACGGUGGUGCGGUCACUUCUAGAUGGAUCCGCGCUGUAUUAGCUGGUUGGUAAGGUAACGGCUUACCAAGGCAACGAUGCAUAGCCGAACUGAGAGGCUGAUCGCCCACACGGGAACUGAGACGCGGUCAAGACUCCUACGGGAGGCAGCAGUAGGCAAUCUUCCGCAACGGUGGAAAGCAUGACGGAACGACGCCGCGUGAGUGAUGGAGGCGUUGCGAUCGUGAAACUCUGUUAUUAGUGAAGAACCGAUUUGGAAGGAGACGAAGAGAUAGUGACGGUACCUAGUAAGAAAGCCACGGCUAACUACGUG
This 497-nucleotide ribosomal RNA is filed under the name uncultured bacterium. RNAcentral describes it as "partial 16S ribosomal RNA". It matches the Rfam family "Bacterial small subunit ribosomal RNA", at positions 28 to 507 of the family's 1533-position model. The record is from RNAcentral.